AUGUGUAAUAAAUUUAAAUCAGUUAUAUUAUCCUAUAAAAUUCAUGUACUUCCACAGGCUAGUCCGCUGCAGGUGGAGAAACUGAAAACAGCUCCUCAAGAAUACACUGAAUUGACUUCUCAUACACAUAACAACAUCUUAUGAGUGAAAUGAGUUAAUUUCACAGUCUUUUUCAUUGAAUCGGAUCAGUUCUCUACAUUGUUAAGACUCAGCCUACAACUAGCCAGUUGGUUUAACCCAAGUCUGAAAAUACCCGACCCAAACCUCAUUG
RNAcentral lists this long non-coding RNA (271 nucleotides) under Panax ginseng (ginseng). RNAcentral describes it as "long non-coding RNA (PGIN_LNC004859)". Lineage: Eukaryota; Viridiplantae; Streptophyta; Magnoliopsida; Apiales; Araliaceae. The record is from RNAcentral.